UGGGUAAUAGCUCAGUGGUAGAGCAUGUGCUUAACAUGCAUGAGAUCCUGGGUUUAAUCCCUAGUACCUCCA
This 72-nucleotide transfer RNA is filed under the name Camelus bactrianus (Bactrian camel). It matches the Rfam family "tRNA". From Rfam's summary of the family: Transfer RNA (tRNA) molecules are approximately 80 nucleotides in length. Their secondary structure includes four short double-helical elements and three loops (D, anti-codon, and T loops). Further hydrogen bonds mediate the characteristic L-shaped molecular structure. tRNAs have two regions of fundamental functional importance: the anti-codon, which is responsible for specific mRNA codon recognition, and the 3' end, to which the tRNAs corresponding amino acid is attached (by aminoacyl-tRNA synthetases). tRNAs cope with the degeneracy of the genetic code in two manners: having more than one tRNA (with a specific anti-codon) for a particular amino acid; and 'wobble' base-pairing, i.e. permitting non-standard base-pairing at the 3rd anti-codon position. The record is from Rfam by way of RNAcentral. Lineage: Eukaryota; Metazoa; Chordata; Mammalia; Artiodactyla; Camelidae. RNAcentral also lists the same sequence under 1 other name.